UUUGUUUUUUUAUUUUUUAUCUUAUAUGUUUUUACGUUGUUUUAUUUUGUUUAUCCUAGUUUUUUUUUUUCUUUUGUGUAACAUCUGAAAAAUAUAGUAUAUUACUAUAUAAAAGUGUUAUCACAAUUUCAAUAUUAAUAAGAACAGUUAAGACAGGUAGGAAAUAAAAUAAGUUUUACAGUCAUCCCAAAAUAACUAUAAAAGUCACUUUAUUUACAAACUAGUUUUUAACAAAACUAUAUACAAUAACACAAUAUAAGGAAAUUACACCAGCUGCUCCACCAUCUAAUGCCUGCUCCAUUGAGAUCUCAUCACCUUCUACUCACACCCACAUGAUGAUCAUCGCCAAACCAAACCAAAGCAACAAAAUAGCAAAUACAAACAACAAGAAAAAGGUAAGCUAGAUUUUGAAACAAGUUAUAGAUCAUUUAAAAUCAAUCAAGCAAGAACCAUUCAAACAUUGGUUCCAGACCCCAAACUUUCGCUCAACGACAUAACUCAUUGUACGAAUAAAACUCCCAAUGAUCCUAGACUCCAACCUCUCGCUCAAGGACCCAACCCGUUAGGCAAGAGCAAAGACAGUGGUCCAGAACCCCGCAACUUACUCGCUCAGUGACCCUACUCGCUAGGCAAGAGCAGAAACAGUGGCCC
RNAcentral lists this long non-coding RNA (651 nucleotides) under Vigna radiata. RNAcentral describes it as "long non-coding RNA (VRAD_LNC002955)". Lineage: Eukaryota; Viridiplantae; Streptophyta; Magnoliopsida; Fabales; Fabaceae. The record is from RNAcentral.